GUAACGGCUUACCAAGGCGACGAUCAGUAGCCGACCUGAGAGGGUGAUCGGCCACAUUGGAACUGAGACACGGUCCAAACUCCUACGGGAGGCAGCAGGGGGGAAUAUUGCACAAUGGGCGAAAGCCUGAUGCAGCAACGCCGCGUGAGUGAUGAAGGCCUUCGGGGCGUAAAACUCUGUCCUCAAGGAAGAUAAUGACGGUACUUGAGGAGGAAGCCCCGGCUAACUACGUGCCAGCAGCCGCGG
RNAcentral lists this ribosomal RNA (246 nucleotides) under Clostridioides difficile. Its description in RNAcentral is "partial 16S ribosomal RNA". It matches the Rfam family "Bacterial small subunit ribosomal RNA", at positions 257 to 520 of the family's 1533-position model. Lineage: Bacteria; Bacillati; Bacillota; Clostridia; Peptostreptococcales; Peptostreptococcaceae. The record is from RNAcentral.